This 257-nucleotide ribosomal RNA is filed under the name Ditylum brightwellii. Its description in RNAcentral is "partial Eukaryotic large subunit ribosomal RNA". It matches the Rfam family "Eukaryotic large subunit ribosomal RNA", at positions 176 to 436 of the family's 3401-position model. The record is from RNAcentral. Lineage: Eukaryota; Bacillariophyta; Thalassiosirophyceae; Lithodesmiales; Lithodesmiaceae.
UGAGUGUAACUUGGUUGGAAUGCCAGGCCGCAGAGGGUGCAAGCCCCGUGCCGCUCACGCUGCAGACAAGGGAGAGUUCGAAGAGUCGGGUAGUUCGGGACUGCUGCCCUAAGUGGGAGAUAGACUUCUUCCAAGGCUAAAUAACGACGAGAGACCGAUAGCGAACAAGUACUGUGAAGGAAAGAUGCAAAGCACUUUGAAAAGAGAGUUAAAUAGCACGUGAAAUUGUUGAAAGGGAAGCGCUUGCGACCAGACUC